CCUUAAACUCUGCAUAGGAGGCACAUUCUUUUCCACAGUGACAAGUGUGCACAUCAGGAUGCUCAGGAACACCUUUAAGAGAGCAACAUCACCGAACAAAACCAAAUUGAUGCUUUUGUACUGUGGUGCUGGAGAAAACUGUUGAGAACAUUGGAAGGAUAAGAACCAACCAGAUGAAGUAAAGCCGUACUGCAGACUGAGUAACACUGAAACAAAAAUAAUCUGGACACGUAAUGUGGCAGCAAGAGUCUUUGGAGAAGUCUGAAAAAGAAGCCGAAAGAAGACAAAGUGGCUAGACACUCCCUGGUUACACAAGCACAAGGUUGUAAGAAUUCAAAGCAGUUACUGGAAGAGAAUUCUGACAUUAGAUCCUUCGCGCUGCAAAGAAUCAAAAAGGCAAAGAAUCAAAAAGAACUACGAGGUUCACUCUUCUUCUACUUAUCAGAAAAAAAUUAUUUUCAAUUGAAGGGACUGACUGUUAAAACUAUUUUAUUGUCCAGGUAGAAGAAAGCAAUUAUCAACUUUGAUGGGAGCUGAAAUGAUAGGGUUUUUUUUUUAUUUCUUCCUAGAGACCAUUCUUGUUUUACCUUCAUUAUGAACUUGUAGAUUUUAGUAUUUGAUCAGCUACCAGACAUGCAUUUUUUUCUUUUUUUGUCACUUUUUUCUAUUUUGAUAAAGGUCUGAUGUUCUGUUCUAAAACUGCUAAAGUACUCUAGUGGUUAUUUAGUCUUAUUGUGUGCACAUAUAUUAUAUGUGAAUAUUAAAACUUGUUCCAGAGACUAUUACUAAAACAAACAAUGCUUUAGUUUUGGUAGGCCACACUCUCUUCCUCUGAAGAUGCUAAUCAGCAUUCAUGCUGCAUUACCUGUUUUUAUAAUUUCAACGAAAGAUGAACAAAAUGUCUUCCACAUGAAGUAUCAAAUAUUCACAAAAAUAAAAAGAAUCUACUCAGUUCUUCUGCUCUUUGAAUUAAAUAUUUAAGUUUCUGAAUUUUAAAUCUUAAACUAAGACCCAAGAGCCAUGUGUAGCUUCAAAAUACCAACAUCAUUGCUGACAAUUGUAAUUUUAAUAUGGCUGAGUGGAAAAUAUUUUACAUGAAUGUGGAAAAAUGACAUCAACUAUAUAUAAAUUAUUUUACAUUUUUGUCUAACUCCACCCACUUUUUAGAGUGCAGGCCAAAGCAUACCAUUGACCGCACAUCCCUGUACCAGAUGAAGCCAUUCUGUCUCACAGUAUAGAUGAUCUACCAUCUCUUUACAAAGGGCACCUAAAGCAUUUUUCAAAAUAUAACGAGGUAUAGUUAAGAAAGACAAUAUUUAAAAGAUCACCUUAGACAAAUUUUUAAACAGAUCUGUAAAUUCAAGUUUAGCUUUAAACAGAUCUCAAAUGCUUUUCAAAUCUCAAGUCGUCCAAUACUUCAAGGGCUGUCACAAGGAAAAGAAUGUGCAUUUAUUCCUGUGGCUCCCAAGGAUAGGGUGAAAAACAAGGGGUUGAAGCUUUGCCCAGAUACCAACUCAAAGGAAGAAUGAAGAUCCUGACUCAAGCAGUUAUUAAACACUUCCUCCUGGAGUUUUUGAGGCUCCGUCAUAGGAGGUUUUCAAGCAAAGGUUGGACAAUCAUUUGUUUGGGAUGGAUGAAAAUUCUUCUUCUGAGCAGAGCAUUGGCCUAAAAGACCUCCAAGAUGUCUUCCAACUCUACAGGUCUAUGAGCCAGGCAUCUUAGCUGCAAAAAAAUCUACUGACAUGGCUCCAGUUAAGACUAAAUCAAGAAAAUAUCAUGAAGAUAUUAAGAUACCUGAAGACUACCCAGAUAGAUACGUUUUUCUAAUUAUAAUACAUUCAAUCUACCUAAUGAUCUAACAAAAUAAUAAUGCAAAUACAUGCUGAAUCAGUCCCACAAAACAUCUGAUUGUUAAUCCAAUCCUGCAAUAGUAGAUUUUGUUGAAAUAUAAAAUGAAACUAUCCCAGAGAACUAGUUUAGUGUAGUAGUUAAAUGCAUCAGGCUAGGAAGACCAUGAGUUCUAUUUCCACCUUAGGCUUGAAGCCAGCUUGGUCAGUUACUUCCUCUCAGCCCUAAAAAGCAGGUUGUGGCAAACCACUUCUGAAAAUCUUGCCAAGAAAACAGCAGGGACUUGUCCAGGCAGUCACUAGGAAUCAAUGCUGACUUGAAUGCAAUUAAAACCAAAAAACCUCAACCCUA
Non-coding RNA from Thamnophis sirtalis, 2199 nucleotides. Lineage: Eukaryota; Metazoa; Chordata; Lepidosauria; Squamata; Natricidae. The record is from RefSeq and is a predicted model, not a curated record.